GUAAAGACUGUGAUGAGGAAUAGUAAAUUUGUCGUUCUUUUUAGAGAGCUAGCGGCUGGUGGGAGCUAGUAAGAAAGCAAGUUGAACUCGCCUUCUGAGUCUGCCCGCGUGAAACAGCGUGUGUCGUUUCUUCCGCGUUAAGGAAGCUUGAGCCGAGUGUAAUCACUAAUUUGGGUGGUACCGCGGGAGUACAAAUUCUCUCGUCCCUUCU
RNAcentral lists this non-coding RNA (211 nucleotides) under Lysinibacillus sphaericus. RNAcentral's name for it is "Lysinibacillus sp. T-box sequence". It matches the Rfam family "T-box leader". From Rfam's summary of the family: Uncharged tRNA acts as the effector for transcription antitermination of genes in the T-box leader family. T-boxes are found upstream of many aminoacyl-tRNA synthetase genes and some amino acid biosynthetic genes usually in Gram-positive bacteria. The anticodon of a specific tRNA base pairs to a specifier sequence within the T-box motif, and the NCCA acceptor tail of the tRNA base pairs to a conserved bulge in the T-box antiterminator hairpin. Lineage: Bacteria; Bacillati; Bacillota; Bacilli; Caryophanales; Bacillaceae. The record is from RNAcentral.